AAAAAGUAAUGAAAUUCUGACUCAAGAAGGAACUGAAUAAAUAUUAAACAAGGAAGGAAGAGUUGAAAACUCAGCACUCAACUGCCAGAUAGAGAAGAUUUACAAGACAAGAGGGAUCUUGACUUAACAGUCUAGUACUCAAAGCUCUCCAUCAAGCUGUGAAGCUCUGAGCUUAAAUAUGAACUGGAAAAUGAUGAAGCAGGC
RNAcentral lists this long non-coding RNA (204 nucleotides) under Coturnix japonica (Japanese quail). RNAcentral's name for it is "lncRNA (ENSCJPG00005019429.1)". Lineage: Eukaryota; Metazoa; Chordata; Aves; Galliformes; Phasianidae. The record is from RNAcentral.